AGCCCGAUAGUGUAGAGGUCAAGCAUAGGGGCCUUUGGAGCCCUUGACGGCAGUUCGAAUCUGCCUCGGGCUA
RNAcentral lists this transfer RNA (73 nucleotides) under Thermoproteota archaeon. RNAcentral describes it as "Crenarchaeota archaeon tRNA-Gln". It matches the Rfam family "tRNA". From Rfam's summary of the family: Transfer RNA (tRNA) molecules are approximately 80 nucleotides in length. Lineage: Archaea; Thermoproteati; Thermoproteota. RNAcentral also lists the same sequence under 1 other name. The record is from RNAcentral.